UGCCAGACUCCUACGGGAGGCAGCAGUGGGGAAUAUUGCACAAUGGGGGAAACCCUGAUGCAGCGACGCCGCGUGAGCGAUGAAGUAUUUCGGUAUGUAAAGCUCUAUCAGCAGGGAAGAAAAUGACGGUACCUGAGUAAGAAGCCCCGGCUAACUACGUGCCAGCAGCCGCGGUAAUACGUAGGGGGCAAGCGUUAUCCGGAUUUACUGGGUGUAAAGGGAGCGUAGACGGCGAUACAAGUCUGAAGUGAAAGCCCGGGGCUCAACCCCGGGACUGCUUUGGAAACUGUGUUGCUGGAGUGCUGGAGAGGCAAGCGGAAUUUCUAGUGUAGCGGUGAAAUGCGUAGAUAUUAGGAGGAACACCAGUGGCGAAGGCGGCUUACUGGACUGUAACUGACGUUGAGGCUCGAAGGCGUGGGGAGCAAACAGGAUUAGAUACCCGGGUAU
Molecule: ribosomal RNA, 447 nt
Filed under: uncultured bacterium
Lineage: Bacteria
Description: bacterial SSU rRNA
Rfam family: Bacterial small subunit ribosomal RNA
Source: RNAcentral